This 511-nucleotide ribosomal RNA is filed under the name uncultured bacterium. RNAcentral's name for it is "partial 16S ribosomal RNA". It matches the Rfam family "Bacterial small subunit ribosomal RNA", at positions 28 to 523 of the family's 1533-position model. The record is from RNAcentral.
GACGAACGCUGGCGGCGUGCCUAAUACAUGCAAGUCGAGCGGAAGUUGGAGAGCUUGCUCUUCAACUUUAGCGGCGGACGGGUGAGUAACACGUGGGCAACCUGCCCUGCAGAUCGGGAUAACUCCGGGAAACCGGUGCUAAUACCGAAUAGUUUUCGCCACCUCCUGGUGGCGUACGGAAAGACGGUUUCGGCUGUCACUGCAGGAUGGGCCCGCGGCGCAUUAGCUAGUUGGUGGGGUAACGGCCCACCAAGGCAACGAUGCGUAGCCGACCUGAGAGGGUGGACGGCCACACUGGGACUGAGACACGGCCCAGACUCCUACGGGAGGCAGCAGUAGGGAAUCUUCCGCAAUGGACGAAAGUCUGACGGAGCAACGCCGCGUGAGUGACGAAGGUUUUCGGAUCGUAAAACUCUGUUGUGAGGGAAGAACAAGUACCAACUAACUACUGGUACCUUGACGGUACCUCACCAGAAAGCCACGGCUAACUACGUGCCAGCCGCCGCCGUAA